CACAGCCAAGACAGAGGUUGUUAUAACUCUUCAGCUCACUUUUAUUUAAGUUAAGUUCUGUGAUCAGUCGUUUCCAUCUGCAAAAGCUCUUGUGUCAAUGCCACUGGCGCGUGGAACAGAAAUUGCCACAUUUCACCCCGGUACAAAGCAACAGGAGGAACGGCUUCGUGUCUCACAUGGGGAAUAACACCCAACUCCCCAUGCACGCUGCUAGCACAAACUCAACCAGUUUCCUGCUCGACUUGUUCAGCCAUCCACCCGGCAACAUUUCUGUUCCCGGAGCAGUAUCUUUGCAAAUCAGCGCACGCCGUGGCAAGAGGGGAACGCCUCCCAUCAGCACUGCUGGGUUUGUGCUCCUGCGAGCUCAGCGUGGGCAGCCUUAGCGUGGAGCAAAGCCAGUGUUCAGCCCUUGGCAUCAGGUCCAGCAAAGUUUGGAAGCAACCAUUUGGCAAAUGCCAUGCAACCGCGUGGAAAGGGAAGGAGGAACCGGAGCGCCGGAUCGGAACAUUGCUAAGUGCGGCUUUGUAAAACCAAAACAACCGGCUCGAAUCGCGCUCCGCCUCUUUCUUCAGGACAGAUGUACGGAGCCCGGGAGCCGGGGGGAGGGCAGCAGAAGGAGACGUCAGAGUGGUGAGGAUAGAGAUGCUGAGGGAGGUCUGACAACGGGGCGUAGACGUGGGGGAUCUUCUGCAGAUACCGACCGUCGUGGGAGUAGCAGCGGGUCAGGUAAUCACUCGCAUUCGGUAUCUCUGAGUGACGCUUUCCAAAGUUCUGUAAGCAGAGACAAAAGUCAAAGGGUGAAAACUCCAUCAAACGCGCAGCUCAGCUCCUUGCUGAGGCUCACAUGUAGCAAAUAGGGUGGGAAAUUAAAUAGUUCUGCUUGCUGCUUCAGAAAAAUAGAAAGCCGGGUGAUAAAACCUCACAUUUCAACAAGCGUUGCCACAGUUCUUGAAAUAUCCAUUGGGCUAAGGAAUACGUAGGUGUUUUGCAUUCUUUGCCCCUUGCCUGGAUGGUUUCUGCCUCUCUCAAUAGAGCAGGCAGUGGAACAAGGAAGGGCAGUUUAUUUACAGCCUUCCUAACUCUCCCACACCUGAGUUCUGUAAAAGCAGCGCUUGUACGCAUCGUUAGGCCAACACAGACCUGUGCUCUUUUGCACAAAAGGGCGCGUUUGUCUGACCAGCAGCUCUGCAGGUACAAUAGGUUAUUGUGCCCGAUGUUUACCCAGCAGCCAGGACUGUGUGCUGAGCUGUACCUGUGCGAUCAGCUCCUUUGUCAUCCUCAGCACCAGGCUUGUGAGUCAAAGCAACCGUGGAGAAUGUAAAGCAUUUGCAAGAUGGGAGCUCAGAGCGGCUCCAAGCAAUCCCACAACCCCUGCUCCCCCUGGGGUGGCAGAGGUGGGAUGCUCCCUGCUGCUCACUGCCCUUUCCCAGGUCGAAGCCCUGCAAAACGACCCAAGCAGGACUGACCAUGACCUUGCUCUCACCAUAAUCUCAUCUCUAAGAGGCAGCAAACCCGCCAGCAACAGCCUUUUACGCCCGUGGUUUGAUUCGGGGCUGGCUGAAACAAGCGACUUGCCCUUGAGUCCUUCCUUGCUCUCUUUGAACAUAGCAGAAACAGUCGGUUUAGUGAACAGGACAAGGAUUUGACCCUCAGGAGAAAAAGCCUGAAGGAACAGAGCAAUCUACUCAACUCCUCCGCUGCCAGUUCCCGGAUAAAUAUUUCACCAGGACGCUUAAAAAAAUCAUGUAGAAAACAAAGUGUCGACAAUAAUUUAUUGAUGGCUCAGACUGCUGCGAGAGGCAGCAAGGUUGGAAGGCUGGAGCUCUGAAGGCAGAGGAGGCCAUGGGAGGGUGGGGAGUAGGAGCACGGGGACAGCAGCCGCAAUGCUAAGGUCAACCUGACUUUCUUUUCUCUUUCCUUGGCAAAAUGGUGUGUCCGACUGCUUGAGACUUUUGAAGCCAGUGGUCUCGAGCUGGACAGACAGCAAAGGGGCUUACAAUAAGCUCCAGGUCCCUUCUGCGCAGAAUCGUUGCACUGGUAUCUCUGACAUUUGGUGCUUAAUGUGGGCCUGGAAGAACCAUCCACGAAGCAGGGCUGGAGGGAACCGGUGCCGUUCUGUCAGCACUUCUGGCCAGCUCCGGCACUGAUGAAAGAAGGAGAUAAUUGGAAUGGAGGAAGAAGGAGGAGGAGGAGGAGAAGGAAAAGAGAUCCAGGAGAAGGGAGCGAGACAUGGAUGAGGGGAAAAGCUCAACAGAGUAAUGAACAAUCAAAUCCCUUUGGUAAUUUAUUUCUUCUGCUGUACAAUCUAGAGGAGGUGAUGACACACGAAAUUGCAUCUCCUGGAGGAACGAAGGGGCCACAUCCUGACUCCCAUUACAUCUCCUGAUCUCAACAGCCUGCUCUCAAUGCCCAGAGCACAGCAGGUCCUGUGUCUGUGCUGAGCCAGAGACACAGCCCUGCUUCCUUGAUGAGCCCAUUAGGGUCAUGCUAUUACAAGCAGCCACCAGACAAAUUCCAUCAGAGAGAAGGGACCGGGACUGCAGCUCGCACUCGUAUCAUCUGCGCUACUAGAGUUAAUUUGCUCAGCAACCUUCAGCAUCACCCCUGGGAACAUCUCACUCCGUUUGACCACGUGCCCUGGGCCACGUUUGUGUGGUUUUGCCUCCAAGGUGCUUCCACCAUGGCUUGGCUCUACCUUGGAUGUCCCCAGAGAUGAGAUCAGCUCCGUGUUUGCAUGGCUGCAAGCUCCUGCUCAUGCCGUAUCCAGCUGGGUAUUUGUUAGCUUGCAGAGCUUCCUCUGUCUCCGAAACAGAUCAAACAGAAAAGCUGCAAAGAGAGAGACUGUCAGCGUGAAAGAGAAGCUGCAAAGGUUGGUACAACAGCUAAGGUCACGCAGGAGAGAGCAACAGGAACAAACAAACCCUUUGCAGUGCUCUAUAGGCACUUUACCAGAUGGAGAAUGUCAAGAGGGCAGUCAUAAUUCAGAAAAGGCAAAAGAUGUCAAUAACUAUUCAUGAUCUGUCUUGGAAACAGAAAUCUGUUCUGGGAGACAAAGCGAUUUCUGCAUGUUAGAGGAUGGCAGAACCAGCCAUCUUGCCCUGGGCACCAUCUCUUUGGGUACUCCCAAAGCAAACAGGUUGAAAACUCGGCCAAAGUGAUCCCCAACUCACAGCUGUCAGAUUCCUUUGUGUAAAUUGGGCUUGUUAAAUCCUAAAAGGGUGCAGAGCUGCUCCCUGCCUCCUCCUUGCCAGCUCCUCUGCUCUGUAGCUCAGGUAGCACCAUCAAGGCAGGUCCUCCAAGCCCAUUUUAGGUCAGUUAUAAUUGGGAAGGCUCACGUGGAGCUAUAAAACAUCAGUUAAUACGCUGGAACUAUCUAGUUAAAUGCCAAUUAUAAAAGCCCAUAAGCUCCUCAACUCAAAUAUAUUAAUAACAUAAUUAAACAUUUAUUGCUUAUGCAAAUUAAAAGUUAAGUUAAUCGGACAUCAACGAAACCCCAGGAAGUGACCAUUUAAGUAACUAAUUUCUAUUUAAUUAUGAUUCCUCCCUAUUAUCGAGCCCCCAUGCCAUUACUUCUGGACAGCUCUGCAGUGUUUACCCGCACCAUUCAGACUCUGCAUUCCCACUCUGGUAUCUAUUCAUAAUCCCGGACAGCUGCCUCAUUCAUAUCACAGCCACGGAGCUGGCACAGCUGGCAGCAGCUGGACUGGAUGCCCCUGCUUCUCCUCCCACCUCCUCUUGGCUAAGGAAGGGCACAGCCAGGGCUAAAUCUCCAGAUCCAACAUGGGAAUGAACUCGUGGGAAGGCACCUGGUGGGGAUAGCAACUCGUGUUGGUAUAGAUCCCAUAGGCAGAAGGUGGCAAUUCAGCCCUGCGUGCCCCCCAGAGCCUUGCCCCAGGUUCCCUGCACACUUCUGCUGCUGUCACAUUUCCCUGUUGCCACCGGGAAGGGCACUUUGGAGCACAGCAGGGAAGUCGCAGCCCUUGGAGGGUGAGUGCUUUGUGAUGAGCUCGGCUCCUCGGGUGGACGAAGCUGUGUGCCAGCAGAAAGCCACUGCUCAUUAUUAUUGUAAAGCGGUAAUUGAAAGGGCUGGGAGCUAGAGCAGGGCGACGAAAUGAGGCCAGGAGAUGGGAAAUGAAGCAUUUCGUUCCUCGAGGGAUGGAGAUGUUCCCCCGGCGAGCCGAGGCUCUGAGGCCGGGGCCAUACGGAUGGGCUCCCUCCCCCAGUGCGACAGGCAAUCAGUUAAAGCUGACAGGUGUGAAGUUGGCAAUUUUCUUUUCAAACCGGUGAGAUAAACAGGCUGGCGGGAGUUUGAGAGGAGCAGGGAGAUAAAGGGGAAGAGAAA
This is a long non-coding RNA of Numida meleagris (helmeted guineafowl), 4342 nucleotides long. RefSeq lists it as uncharacterized. The transcript is spliced from 6 exons. The record is from RefSeq and is a predicted model, not a curated record. NCBI's taxonomy places the organism in Eukaryota, Metazoa, Chordata, Aves, Galliformes, Numididae.